AGUGAACGCUGGCGGUAGGCCUAACACAUGCAAGUCGAACGGCAGCACAGUAAGAGCUUGCUCUUACGGGUGGCGAGUGGCGGACGGGUGAGGAAUACAUCGGAAUCUACUUUUUCGUGGGGGAUAACGUAGGGAAAUUUACGCUAAUACCGCAUACGACCUACGGGUGAAAGCAGGGGAUCUUCGGACCUUGCGCGAUUGAAUGAGCCGAUGUCGGAUUAGCUAGUUGGCGGGGUAAAGGCCCACCAAGGCGACGAUCCGUAGCUGGUCUGAGAGGAUGAUCAGCCACACUGGAACUGAGACACGGUCCAGACUCCUACGGGAGGCAUCAGUGGGGAAUAUUGGACAAUGGGCGCAAGCCUGAUCCAGCCAUACCGCGUGGGUGAAGAAGGCCUUCGGGUUGUAAAGCCCUUUUGUUGGGAAAGAAAAGCAGCGGGUUAAUACCCCGCUGUUCUGACGGUACCCAAAGAAUAAGCACCGGCUAACUUCGUG
Molecule: ribosomal RNA, 492 nt
Filed under: uncultured bacterium
Lineage: Bacteria
Description: partial 16S ribosomal RNA
Rfam family: Bacterial small subunit ribosomal RNA
Source: RNAcentral